Molecule: ribosomal RNA, 1419 nt
Filed under: Campylobacter coli
Lineage: Bacteria; Pseudomonadati; Campylobacterota; Epsilonproteobacteria; Campylobacterales; Campylobacteraceae
Description: partial 23S ribosomal RNA
Rfam family: Bacterial large subunit ribosomal RNA
Source: RNAcentral
UCGUAGGAGGUUAUACAGGCAAAUCCGUAUAACAAUACUCCGAGAACUGAAAGGCUUUUUGAAGUCUUCGGAUGGAUAGAAGAACCCCUGAUGCCGUCGAGCCAAGAAAAGUUUCUAAGUUUAGCUAAUGUUGCCCGUACCGUAAACCGACACAGGUGGGUGGGAUGAGUAUUCUAAGGCGCGUGGAAGAACUCUCUUUAAGGAACUCUGCAAAAUAGCACCGUAUCUUCGGUAUAAGGUGUGGUUCGCUUCGUAUUAGGAUUUACUCCGAAAGCGAAGAAACUUACAACAAAGAGUCCCUCCCGACUGUUUACCAAAAACACAGCACUCUGCUAACUCGUAAGAGGAUGUAUAGGGUGUGACGCCUGCCCGGUGCUCGAAGGUUAAUUGAUGGGGUUAGCAUUAGCGAAGCUCUUGAUCGAAGCCCGAGUAAACGGCGGCCGUAACUAUAACGGUCCUAAGGUAGCGAAAUUCCUUGUCGGUUAAAUACCGACCUGCAUGAAUGGCGUAACGAGAUGGGAGCUGUCUCAAAGAGGGAUCCAGUGAAAUUGUAGUGGAGGUGAAAAUUCCUCCUACCCGCGGCAAGACGGAAAGACCCCGUGGACCUUUACUACAGCUUGACACUGCUAUUUGGAUAAGAAUGUGCAGGAUAGGUGGGAGGCUUUGAGUAUAUGACGCCAGUUGUAUAUGAGCCAUUGUUGAGAUACCACUCUUUCUUAUUUGGGUAGCUAACCAGCUUGAGUUAUCCUCAAGUGGGACAAUGUCUGGUGGGUAGUUUGACUGGGGCGGUCGCCUCCCAAAUAAUAACGGAGGCUUACAAAGGUUGGCUCAGAACGGUUGGAAAUCGUUCGUAGAGUAUAAAGGUAUAAGCCAGCUUAACUGCAAGACAUACAAGUCAAGCAGAGACGAAAGUCGGUCUUAGUGAUCCGGUGGUUCUGUGUGGAAGGGCCAUCGCUCAAAGGAUAAAAGGUACCCCGGGGAUAACAGGCUGAUCUCCCCCAAGAGCUCACAUCGACGGGGAGGUUUGGCACCUCGAUGUCGGCUCAUCGCAUCCUGGGGCUGGAGCAGGUCCCAAGGGUAUGGCUGUUCGCCAUUUAAAGCGGUACGCGAGCUGGGUUCAGAACGUCGUGAGACAGUUCGGUCCCUAUCUGCCGUGGGCGUAAGAAGAUUGAAGAGAUUUGACCCUAGUACGAGAGGACCGGGUUGAACAAACCACUGGUGUAGCUGUUGUUCUGCCAAGAGCAUCGCAGCGUAGCUAAGUUUGGAAAGGAUAAACGCUGAAAGCAUCUAAGCGUGAAGCCAACUCUAAGAUGAAUCUUCUCUAAGCUCUCUAGAAGACUACUAGUUUGAUAGGCUGGGUGUGUAAUGGAUGAAAGUCCUUUAGCUGACCAGUACUAAUAGAGCGUUUGGCUUAUCUUU